RNAcentral lists this transfer RNA (75 nucleotides) under Alosa alosa (allis shad). RNAcentral describes it as "tRNA-OTHER". The record is from RNAcentral. Lineage: Eukaryota; Metazoa; Chordata; Actinopteri; Clupeiformes; Clupeidae.
GCAGGCGUGGCCUACUGGUUAGCGCUUCGGACUUGUAACCGGAGGGUUGCCGGUUCGAACCCCGACCAGUAGGCA